RNAcentral lists this microRNA (21 nucleotides) under Marchantia polymorpha subsp. ruderalis. Lineage: Eukaryota; Viridiplantae; Streptophyta; Marchantiopsida; Marchantiales; Marchantiaceae. The record is from RNAcentral.
CGGACUCCAGUUGGCAUGUGC